RNAcentral lists this long non-coding RNA (719 nucleotides) under Olea europaea subsp. europaea. Lineage: Eukaryota; Viridiplantae; Streptophyta; Magnoliopsida; Lamiales; Oleaceae. The record is from RNAcentral.
UUCCAUGAAAAAAAAUUGUAUCAAACACCUAAAGUUGAAAAAUUCAAUUCCAAUUCCAUUUCCAUCCUAUCAAACACACCUUAGUGUUUUCAUCCCUUCCAAAAUUAUCAUCUUCUACCUCAAACGAAUGGGUGGGUCUUACCAUGUGAAAGAUUUGCAACUUCCAUCAGUAACCACAUAGACCUCUCAUCUGUUUUCAAAUAUCUCUGAAACAUCAAUUCCAAACUUAAAUUUCUCCGUCCAACGGAAACAAUGGUGAAACAAGACUAACAUGAUUGCAACUGGGAGAGACCCACCAUACACUAUGUUCCCUUAAUACCCAGUAAGGGAUAUUGGAGCAAUCUAGGUUUCUCUGACUUUGCUGCGCUGGCCCCUAUUGCCACAGAUCAUUAUUUUUUAGUAGGAAAUGCUCUUACAAAAUCAUUUUCGUCUUCCUUCUGUUAGUUUAUACUACGAACCAACUUGUCCACAAAAUCCUUCUGCAAGUACAUUUCGUGCUUUCUCUAUUGUAUUUCACUUUCACCUGCAAGAACCGAUAAUCCACUUCUGGUAAUAUUGCAUAGAGAUCUAAGAAACUCUCAUUCUUUUUCUUAAUUUUUUGGUUCCUGUUUUUGCUCUUUUAUAUAAAUUCCAUAAUUUGCAAACCUAAACGUGAAUAGUGCAGUCAUUGUGAAAAUUAUGUGAUGGGCCAGUCCCCGUUUUAUCACACACUUCCUGUG